CUGCGGAGGGAUCAUUGCUGGAACGCGCCCCUGGCGCACCCAGAAACCCUUUGUGAACUUAUACCUUACUGUUGCCUCGGCGCAUGCUGGCCCCCUGGGGGUCCCUCACUCCGGUGAGGAGCAGGCACGCCGGCGGCCAAGUUAACUCUUGUUUUUACACUGAAACUCUGAGAAAAAACACAAAUGAAUCAAAACUUUCAACAACGGAUCUCUUGGUUCUGGCAUCGAUGAAGAACGCAGCGAAAUGCGAUAAGUAAUGUGAAUUGCAGAAUUCAGUGAAUCAUCGAAUCUUUGAACGCACAUUGCGCCCUCUGGUAUUCCGGAGGGCAUGCCUGUUCGAGCGUCAUUUCAACCCUCAAGCAUUGCUUGGUGUUGGGGCACUGCCUGUAAAAGGGCAGGCCCUGAAAUCUAGUGGCGAGCUCGCCAGGACCCCGAGCGCAGUAGUUAAACCCUCGCUUUGGAAGGCCCUGGCGGUGCCCUGCCGUUAAACCCCCAACUUUUGAAAAUUUGACCUCGGAUCAGGUAGGAAUACCCGCUGAACUUAAGCAUAUCAUAGGCCGGGAGGAAA
RNAcentral lists this ribosomal RNA (568 nucleotides) under Phomopsis sp. M31. RNAcentral's name for it is "eukaryotic LSU rRNA". The stretch from base 193 to 346 matches the Rfam family "5.8S ribosomal RNA". Lineage: Eukaryota; Fungi; Ascomycota; Sordariomycetes; Diaporthales; Diaporthaceae. The record is from RNAcentral.